GGUGAAUGGAAGGCGAAGGGGCACAGAUUUGGCCUCCCACACGCGGCAGGCGCAUGCGCUGCCUUGAGACUCACCACCACUUAAUAUCCAAUAAGAUCAUGUAUUAUCAUUAAAUAACAUUGAAGUUGUAAAACGCUACUACUAGAUAAAUCAGAUAACACGCCAACCCUAACGUCCAAUUCGUCUCUCGUCUCUUCUUCCUUCCAACCAUGGAUAUGAGAAAACCUUUUCUGAACCCUCAUCCUGGAUCUAUGAACGAAGUCUACAGGAUCUCAACAUAUUCACAAUUCGUCCUAAACCUAAAACCUAAAUCGAAGCAAACAAACAACUAUCCCUACACUAUAGAUUCAAUCAUAUGCUAACGAAACCUAAUGAUUUCAAAAACCAAAAACAAAUAAACAAAUCUAAACGGUACGGUAAAGAGUAAUGGUACGCGCAACAUUUAUACAAAAGGAUAUGCAAAUCAACAAGGAGUGAGGCAAUAUGAAGCUCGCCGGUGGUGUAAUCCAACCUUGAGGUGUGUCGCUUUCUCCUCCUUUUCUUCCUUUCGCCCUUUUAUGCUCUUCACCUCUUCUCCUUCCUCUUGGCUCAAGCUGUAAUGGUCUGUUUUUCAACUAAUCCGGAUUUCUGAGUAACGGUGCCGAAAAAUCCUCUCCCCUGCACUGAUUGGAAGGCUCCUUAUAUAGAACAAAAACGGUUGGUUUUCGAAUCAUGAGCUGGCAAAGAUCGCAGAAUCAAAACCCGAUAAAAUACCAUCUCCCUUAAAUUUUGUGGGGACUGAUUUAUCUUGGAUUCGAAUCGUGGAAACCACAGAGAACUCAUUUGUUACCGCAAUGUGGCAACAUCCUCCCAGGACUCGGGUGGUCCCCCCGAUAUUUGGUAUGAUUUAUUUAAUUUUGAAAUAAGUGAGUAUCUGUCAAUAUUUAUUUUAAGUACUUCAGAUAUUAUUUGGUGUUGUAACUUAGCUCUCUUUAAAUCCUUGACCUUAAUUGAAAUUUCAAUCUUUUUGUCUUCAUUGCUAAUAUGGAUCUUGGCUUGGAUUAUUAUUAUGAAAAUUGCAAGAUAUUUAUUGAACAUGUCUUGAUGUUUGGUUAUUCUUUGAUGACAUGAAUAUUGGUUUGGUUCGGCAUGUGGUUGCUGCAAGUUUCAUUGCUACUGAUGCAUUACAGGGUCCUUUUACGAACUCAUACGCUGAUACAAGUUGGCCAAUUCUCCAUGUUGCAAGUUGGAUUCCAUGGUUAUGCCUGCUAGGUCCAUAGUCACGUCGAACAUGUUAUCUCACCAAAGGUUUCCUCAUCCAUUGGCUUGUAUUUCAAGGUCCUGCAGCGGGCUUGUGACAGGUUUUGGUUAUGGAUUGGGUAGCUUGAUUUUUCUGGUUUAUGUUUCAGGGUGUGUGUAUCAUUGAGCAUUUUUGGCCAAGGCUUCAAAUGAAGCUCGGCUCAUGUCCUGGUUGUUGCUCCACAUUUGGUUCAAAAGGGUUGCUUUCAAUAUUGUACAUAGCCCCAAUUUGUGUCUAAAAUUCUUCAUCUUGCUCAGUAGUCAACGACACCAUACCAAGAUGAUCCGCCAGAUAUUGUUUGUCUUCUCAGAGAUCUAAUUCGGUUCCAUACAGUACAACAGGAACGCCUGGAGCAAAAAGCUGGAACUCAAAGACCCACUUCGUUGAACACCAAUCUCGUAACUGUCAAGACUAAUCAACAGAAAAACCCAAGGCGAGAACGUCCUUUCCUGUAGCUCAAAGGCCUUAACCUAUUGUAAUCCUCUUGCCUGGUUGUAUCCCAUAGGCCUAACUUGACAGUUAUGCCUUCAAUCCCUAUUUGCACUAAAAAUGCCGAACACUGUAGGAAUAUAGUUGGCGGAAAAUUUGUUGCCAGUGUAGCAACUUCGUUCUUGGACUCUCCUUUUUCAACUUACUAAGAAUGUGUGGUUGUUUUCUCAAUUGUGCAGGUUGCAAUAUGCUUAUUUAAGACGUGGCUUGUAACUUUUUGAAGAAAAGAGCACAAGGAGUCUGUUAUGGUCAGAUGAUCCGCUGUUUCCGGCUUGACAUAAAAUUACGUAUUUGGAUCCUAGGCAAGGAUUUUCCUUUUUACACCUUGUAAAUGGCCGUAACUCACAUUUGUAAUAAGUAUGAUUAAGAGAUGGAAUUGUUACAUAUGGACAUUUAUGUAUGAAUUUUCUAACUAUGUGUGUUCCUAUAUGCUUGAAUCUUGUUUGAAACAUUUGGAGUAAACAUGAACAUGUUCAUUGUGGGUAAACACGCCCUAGUUGACUUUGUAGGUAUGGUAUGAACAAGUAUAUCUGCCCUUUUUUUGAAAUCAGAGUGAAAGCAGGUAGACAUGGAACAAGAUGGACUAGAUUUAUGUUAACCAAUGUAGGUUCGUGGAGUAGGGUCAAUGAAUUGAUCGGAAGUCAACUGUUUGUAAAACUAGGCAAACUUGCAAUUCUUUAUGUACAUGGACCUUGGAUAAUCAAUACGUAAAUGAAAUUUUGGUAUUUUGAUGAUUGUUUA
Molecule: long non-coding RNA, 2509 nt
Organism: Lathyrus oleraceus (garden pea)
Lineage: Eukaryota; Viridiplantae; Streptophyta; Magnoliopsida; Fabales; Fabaceae
Exons: 3
Source: RefSeq, a predicted model, not a curated record